This is a non-coding RNA of Salvelinus sp. IW2-2015, 136 nucleotides long. The record is from RefSeq and is a predicted model, not a curated record. NCBI's taxonomy places the organism in Eukaryota, Metazoa, Chordata, Actinopteri, Salmoniformes, Salmonidae.
GAGCACAGUAAGAUCCUUGUCACUAGAGCACAGUAAGAUCCUUGUCACUAGAGCCCAAUAAGAUCCUUGUCACUAGAGCCCAGUAAGAUCCUUGUCACUAGAGCCCAGUAAGAUCCUUAUCACUAGAGCACAGUAA